Molecule: ribosomal RNA, 252 nt
Filed under: uncultured microorganism
Description: partial 16S ribosomal RNA
Rfam family: Bacterial small subunit ribosomal RNA
Source: RNAcentral
UACGGAGGGGGCAAGCGUUGUUCGGAGUUACUGGGCGUAAAGCGAGCGCAGGUGGUUUAUUAAGUCUGGUGUAAAAGGCAGUGGCUCAACCAUUGUAUGCAUUGGAAACUGGUAGACUUGAGUGCAGGAGAGGAGAGUGGAAUUCCAUGUGUAGCGGUGAAAUGCGUAGAUAUAUGGAGGAACACCGGUGGCGAAAGCGGCUCUCUGGCCUGUAACUGACACUGAGGCUCGAAAGCGUGGGGAGCAAACAGG